AGAGGCAUGGCUUGGCAAUAGAACAUUUACCUUACAAGCAUGAGGCCCUGAGUUCAAACCUCAGUGCCUCAA
Molecule: transfer RNA, 72 nt
Filed under: Dipodomys ordii (Ord's kangaroo rat)
Lineage: Eukaryota; Metazoa; Chordata; Mammalia; Rodentia; Heteromyidae
Rfam family: tRNA
About the family: Transfer RNA (tRNA) molecules are approximately 80 nucleotides in length. Their secondary structure includes four short double-helical elements and three loops (D, anti-codon, and T loops).
Source: Rfam by way of RNAcentral